AGUGAACGCUGGCGGUAGGCCUAACACAUGCAAGUCGAACGGCAGCACAGGAGAGCUUGCUCUCUGGGUGGCGAGUGGCGGACGGGUGAGGAAUACAUCGGAAUCUACUCUGUCGUGGGGGAUAACGUAGGGAAACUUACGCUAAUACCGCAUACGACCUACGGGUGAAAGCCGGGGACCGCAAGGCCUGGCACUGAUGGAUGAGCCCAAAUCGGAUUAGCUAGUUGGCGGGGUAACGGCCCACCAAGGCGACGAUCCGUAGCUGGUCUGAGAGGACGAUCAGCCAAACCGGAACGGAGACACGGUCCGGACUCCUACGGGAGGCAGCAGUGGGGAAUAUUGGACAAUGGGGGAAACCCUGAUCCAGCGACGCCGCGUGGGUGAAGAAGGCCUGCGGGUUGUAAAGCCCUUUCGGUAGGGACGAAAGCUCCUGCUCUAAUAAUGCAGGAGGUUGACUUAACCUACAUAAGAAGCACCGGCUAACUCUGUGCCAGCAGCCGCGGUAA
RNAcentral lists this ribosomal RNA (506 nucleotides) under uncultured bacterium. RNAcentral's name for it is "partial 16S ribosomal RNA". It matches the Rfam family "Bacterial small subunit ribosomal RNA", at positions 29 to 523 of the family's 1533-position model. The record is from RNAcentral.